Small nucleolar RNA from Magnolia sinica, 110 nucleotides. NCBI's taxonomy places the organism in Eukaryota, Viridiplantae, Streptophyta, Magnoliopsida, Magnoliales, Magnoliaceae. The record is from RefSeq and is a predicted model, not a curated record.
AAUCCAUAUUGUGGGCAUGAAUUGACAAGAUCCUUGAACCUUUCCCAACAUUGAAAGAAGGUCUCAUCUUCCUUUUGGGCAAAGUUUAUGAUUGACUUUCGUAUGAUGUU